UUGGGAAUAUUGGACAAUGGGGGAAACCCUGAUCCAGCAAUGCCGCGUGAGUGAUGAAGGCCUUCGGGUUGUAAAGCUCUUUUGGCGGGGACGAUGAUGACGGUACCCGCAGAAUAAGCUCCGGCUAACUUCGUGCCAGCAGCCGCGGUAAUACGAAGGGAGCAAGCGUUGUUCGGAAUUACUGGGCGUAAAGGGCGCGUAGGCGGUUUGACAAGUUGGGCGUGAAAGCCCCAGGCUUAACCUGGGAACUGCGUUCAAAACUGUCUCACUAGAGUUCAGAAGAGGAUGGUGGAAUUUCCGGUGUAGAGGUGAAAUUCGUAGAUAUCGGAAAGAACACCCGUGGCGAAGGCGGCCAUCUGGUCUGACACUGACGCUGAGGCGCGAAAGCGUGGGGAGCAAA
This 400-nucleotide ribosomal RNA is filed under the name uncultured bacterium. RNAcentral's name for it is "bacterial SSU rRNA". It matches the Rfam family "Bacterial small subunit ribosomal RNA", at positions 355 to 772 of the family's 1533-position model. The record is from RNAcentral.